GGGGCUGAUUCUGGAUUCGACGGGAUUCGCGAAACCCAAGGUGCAUGCCGAGGGGCGGUUGGCCUCGUAAAAAGCCGCAAAAAAAUAGUCGCAAACGACGAAAACUACGCUUUAGCAGCUUAAUAACCUGCUUAGAGCCCUCUCUCCCUAGCCUCCGCUCUUAGGACGGGGAUCAAGAGAGGUCAAACCCAAAAGAGAUCGCGUGGAUGCCCUGCCUGGGGUUGAAGCGUUAAAACUAAUCAGGCUAGUCUGGUAGUGGCGUGUCCGUCCGCAGCUGCCAGGCGAAUGUAAAGACUGGACUAAGCAUGUAGUACCGAGGAUGUAGGAAUUUCGGACGCGGGUUCAACUCCCGCCAGCCCAAAA
This 363-nucleotide transfer-messenger RNA is filed under the name Cronobacter sakazakii. RNAcentral's name for it is "Standard tmRNA". It matches the Rfam family "transfer-messenger RNA". From Rfam's summary of the family: Bacterial tmRNA, also known as 10Sa RNA or SsrA, is named for its dual tRNA and mRNA-like properties. Its role is to liberate the mRNA from a stalled ribosome. To accomplish this part of the tmRNA is used as a reading frame that ends in a translation stop signal. Lineage: Bacteria; Pseudomonadati; Pseudomonadota; Gammaproteobacteria; Enterobacterales; Enterobacteriaceae. The record is from RNAcentral.